GUAUUUAUAUAGUAAAUAAUACUUGCAUAUUAAGUUCUUUAUGUUAUAAAGUAAAUAAUUUCAAAUAGAAGAUACAUUUAUUAGUUUUGUAAAUCAAAAAUAGGUUUAAAAUUAAUUCUGGCGAAGCCUGUGCCAGCCGCCGCGGUUAUACAGGGGGUGUGAAAGUAUUUUUAUUAUUAAAAUAAAAGGUUAAUUUAAGUGUGUACAUUUAGGUGAAAUUUUUGUGGGGAUUGUAAAUUUUGUUUUUAUGAAGUCUUUGGUUUAAAUUAGGAUUAGAUACCCUAGUAUUCAAGGGGAUUAGAUUGGUAGUAUUUUAAGGUUUACAAAAUCAAAAGAUUAUGGCGGUAUUUUAAGCUUUUUAGAGGAAUUUAUUCUAUAAUGGAUACGACUCAGAAAUCUUACUUAGGUUGGUGAGGCAGUUUGUAUAUCGCUAUCAUGUAAUGAUAUUGAUUGAUUAAUAAUUGGGAUUGUAAUUAGCAAUAACGUUAGGUCAAAAUGCAGCGAAAAUCUAAGGUUGAAAUGAAUUACUUUUAUUUAUAUAUGAUUUUUUGAAAAAAUGAGAUAGGAUUUAAUAGUAAAUUGGAAUUAUAAUGUUCGGUUGAAUUUAGCUCUAGAAUAUGCACAUAUCGCCCGUCACUCUCAGUGAUGAGAUAAGUCGUAACAAAGUAAAAAUACUGGAAGGUGUUUU
RNAcentral lists this non-coding RNA (688 nucleotides) under Ornithodoros kalahariensis. The record is from RNAcentral. Lineage: Eukaryota; Metazoa; Arthropoda; Arachnida; Ixodida; Argasidae.